GAGUCUCGCUCUUGCCCAGGCUGGAGUGCAGUGGCGUGAUCUCGGCUCACUGCAAGCUCUGCCUCUCAGGUUCGCGCCAUUCUCCUGCCUUAGCCUCCCAAGUAGCUGGGCUAUUUGUUGGUUUGAAGAAAGCAGGAGCGAGUUUGAGGCACAAGAGAACUGCGAAAGGUCCAUUGGAUAUGAUUAGGAAGAGAUUUCUGGAGCAAUUAGGACCCUC
Molecule: long non-coding RNA, 217 nt
Filed under: Pan troglodytes (chimpanzee)
Lineage: Eukaryota; Metazoa; Chordata; Mammalia; Primates; Hominidae
Description: long non-coding RNA NONPTRT016586
Source: RNAcentral